Molecule: long non-coding RNA, 690 nt
Filed under: Marmota monax (woodchuck)
Lineage: Eukaryota; Metazoa; Chordata; Mammalia; Rodentia; Sciuridae
Source: RNAcentral
UUUUUGGUUCUUUCAGUGUAUCUCUUAGAGAUGUAUAGUUCAAAACUUCUUUGUUCUAAAGCCAUUUGAAAUCAAUUCUUUCUCUGAGGAGUUAUGUAACUAAAUUAAUAUACAGUUAACUUCAUUUGUUUCCAUUUGUUUUCAAGUUGAGACUGCUUUUUAAAAGAAUUUGAUUACUUAAAAAAAGUAAUACAUUUCUAUGAUUCAGCAAAAAUACAUCUCAGAAAUAUUCUGCUCUUCUAAUUACAUUCUUCUUUGUCCCAUGUAAGUACAGUUUAUUGACUUUUUUGUUGUUUGUUUCUUGUUUACCCUUCAAGUGGAUUUUUUUGUUGUUGUUUGGUCACAUUUAUUCCUCUCUCCGAUUCCCCACUCUCUUUACAUAUAGGGUAGCAUACCAUCGUCACCUCUUUAUACCUCACUUUUUCCACUUAAAAGUUCUGGGGCUAGGUUGUGGCUUGGUGGUAGAGUACUUGCCUGCACAUGUGAGGCACUGGGUUCAAUUCUCAGCACCACAUAAAUAAAUAAAUGUAUGUAUUGUGUCCAUCUACAACUAAAAAUAAAAAAUAAUUAUGGGGCUGGGGAUGUGGCUCAAGCGGUAGCGCGCUCGCCUGGCAUGCGUGCGGCCCGGGUUCGAUCCUCAGCACCACAUACAAUCAAAGAUGUUGUGUCCGCCGAAAACUAAAAAAAAAA